Long non-coding RNA from Gallus gallus (chicken), 1009 nucleotides. Lineage: Eukaryota; Metazoa; Chordata; Aves; Galliformes; Phasianidae. The record is from Ensembl.
AUAUCAGAUGGCAAUAUGCUCUGCUCCUUUUCAUACAAUCUCCAGCUCCAAAUUGCUCAGAUGCAGCCCAUCUGGCCUCAGAGACUUGUUUGGGCUCCUAAAGAGAUCUCAGCCUACACAGAUCCUCUUCCACUGCUGGAAGCUCCUCUGCUCCUGAACUUUUUCUCAAGUGGAGCUCAGUCCUAAGUUUCCUGCUCAGUCAGCCCAGCCUCCUGAUGCGUUUACUUGACUCGGUGAGUACUGAGAUCCAACAAAGAUGCAGGGAAACAAAAGCAGGAUUUUAAGGACGUUUGGUAAGGAGCUUUCUAUGUCUAAAAUUGCAAAAUAUUUUUUUGGUAGAAGAAUAUACUCCUCAGCCUCUUUCUUGAAGUGUAAAAAUAAUUAUUUUUAGAGAUCAAUUAAAGACCAAGAUCCCACAAGAUAAGCUUCAGCAAACAAGGGUUCUUUUUCUAUUCUAUCAAAUAUUGCUGAAUCUCCUUAAUUUUGCAAUAUGUUUCCAAAAGCCAACAGCUGAGAUGUUAGCAAACGAUGAGAUGGCAAUAACUUUAACAAACAGAGGCAGACAACAGGCUGAAGAAUGGCAAUCCCUACACAUACUUUUAAUAUCAAUGAAACCUGAAAACAAUAAGGAUCUUCAUUCUGUUUUUCAGUUAGAAGGUUUAUGUGGACACUUUUUGAAGCCCAUCAUUCAGUUAUCCAUUAAGCUGUACUAUGUAGAGUUGUCAGACAAAGCAUGCAAUGACUAAACUAUUAAAAAAAAACAGAUGUUAAUGUCUCUUGACAAGGAAAUAUUUUCUUAUUACAAAAUUAUGAGAUGCCUUUAGGGCUGUUAGGAUGAUAUAAACAACAUCCGUCAAACUUGAUUCCUUUUUCAUCUUAGGAGGAGCUACACGGGUUGCUCUCCCUUCUGUUGAGCAUCUCUAGAAUUGCUGUAUGUUAUUUCUUGAUUUACAAUAGGGCAAGAAUAUACAAUUGCAAUAGAAAAAAACACAUCAUGCAGGGAUUCAGG